AUUGAACGCUGGCGGCAUGCCUAACACAUGCAAGUCGAGCGGAUGAAGGGAGCUUUUUCCUGGAUUCAGCGGCGGACGGGUGAGUAAUUCCUAGGAAUCUGCCUGGUAGUGGGGGAUAACGUCCGGAAACGGGCGCUAAUACCGCAUACGUCCUGAGGGAGAAAGGGGGGGAUCUUCGGACCUCACGCUAUCAGAUGAGCCUAGGUCGUAUUAGCUAGUUGGUGGGGUAAAGGCCUACCAAGGCGACGAUCCGUAACUGGUCUGAGAGGAUGAUCAGUCACACUGGAACUGAGACACGGUCCAGACUCCUACGGGAGGCAGCAGUGGGGAAUAUUGGACAAUGGGCGAAAGCCUGAUGCAGCAAUGCCGCGUGUGUGAAGAAGGUCUUCGGAUUGUAAAGCACUUUAAGUUGGGAGGAAGGGCAGUAAGUUAAUACCUUGCUGUUUUGACGUUACCAAAAGAAUAAGCCCCGGCUAACUUCGUG
Molecule: ribosomal RNA, 484 nt
Filed under: uncultured bacterium
Lineage: Bacteria
Description: partial 16S ribosomal RNA
Rfam family: Bacterial small subunit ribosomal RNA
Source: RNAcentral